UGUUGUCAUCUUUUGGCUUACUCUUGGACCUUCUUACAAUGAGACAUUUUUUAUGCGUAUAGACUCACUUGCUUGCGUUUGUUUGAUUGGGUUUUUCUUUAAUCGUUUCAUUAUCUCAUGCCCAUAUUCGACAAAUGUACCCCUAUUCCCAUGACGUGUAUAAGUUUAUCCCUUUAUGUAUGAUUAUUUGUUUAAUUUAGUUUCUAAGACAAGAAUAAAAUCCACCUUUUUUAAAAAAAAAAAGAAAAAAAAUAAAACUCUAACCAACGUCGAGUACUUUUCUCAAAGAUCAACCAUUUCAAACUUUUAUUUUUAAUCCAUUUCCACCAUUCUCGUUUUCUCAAACUUUUCAUCUUCAACCAUUUUCC
Molecule: long non-coding RNA, 368 nt
Filed under: Lathyrus oleraceus (garden pea)
Lineage: Eukaryota; Viridiplantae; Streptophyta; Magnoliopsida; Fabales; Fabaceae
Description: Pisum sativum (pea) long non-coding RNA (PSAT_LNC012322)
Source: RNAcentral